Molecule: ribosomal RNA, 497 nt
Filed under: uncultured bacterium
Lineage: Bacteria
Description: partial 16S ribosomal RNA
Rfam family: Bacterial small subunit ribosomal RNA
Source: RNAcentral
GACGAACGCUGGCGGCGUGCCUAAUACAUGCAAGUUGAGCGCUGAAGGUUGGUACUUGUACCAACUGGAUGAGCAGCGAACGGGUGAGUAACGCGUGGGGAAUCUGCCUUUGAGCGGGGGACAACAUUUGGAAACGAAUGCUAAUACCGCAUAAAAACUUUAAACACAAGUUUUAAGUUUGAAAGAUGCAAUUGCAUCACUCAAAGAUGAUCCCGCGUUGUAUUAGCUAGUUGGUGAGGUAAAGGCUCACCAAGGCGAUGAUACAUAGCCGACCUGAGAGGGUGAUCGGCCACAUUGGGACCGAGACACGGCCCAAACUCCUACGGGAGGCAGCAGUAGGGAAUCUUCGGCAAUGGACGAAAGUCUGACCGAGCAACGCCGCGUGAGUGAAGAAGGUUUUCGGAUCGUAAAACUCUGUUGGUAGAGAAGAACGUUGGUGAGGGUGGAAAGCUCAUCAAGUGACGGUAACUACCCAGAAAGGGACGGCUAACUACGUG